RNAcentral lists this ribosomal RNA (254 nucleotides) under uncultured bacterium. RNAcentral describes it as "partial 16S ribosomal RNA". It matches the Rfam family "Bacterial small subunit ribosomal RNA", at positions 524 to 776 of the family's 1533-position model. The record is from RNAcentral.
UACGGGGGGAGCAAGCGUUGUUCGGAUUUACUGGGCGUAAAGGGCGGGUAGGCGGCCACCGCAAGUCGACUGUGAAAUCUCCGGGCUUAACCCGGAAAGGUCAGCCGAUACUGCGGGGCUAGAGUGCAGAAGGGGCAACUGGAAUUCUCGGUGUAGCGGUGAAAUGCGUAGAUAUCAGGAGGAACACCAGCGGCGAAGGCGGCGCUCUGGGCCGGUACUGACACUGAGGAGCGAAAGCGUGGGGAGCAAACAGG